This 426-nucleotide ribosomal RNA is filed under the name uncultured bacterium. Its description in RNAcentral is "bacterial SSU rRNA". It matches the Rfam family "Bacterial small subunit ribosomal RNA", at positions 354 to 796 of the family's 1533-position model. The record is from RNAcentral.
GUGGGGAAUAUUGGACAAUGGGCGCAAGCCUGAUCCAGCCAUGCCGCGUGAGUGAUGAAGGCCUUAGGGUUGUAAAGCUCUUUCGGCGGGGACGAUAAUGACGGUACCCGCAGAAGAAGCCCCGGCUAACUUCGUGCCAGCAGCCGCGGUAAUACGAAGGGGGCUAGCGUUGCUCGGAAUCACUGGGCGUAAAGCGCACGUAGGCGGGUCGCUGAGUCGGGGGUGAAAUCCUGGAGCUUAACUCCAGAACUGCCUUCGAUACUGGCGAUCUUCGAGUCCGGGAGAGGUGGGUGGAACUGCGAGUGUAGAGGUGAAAUUCGUAGAUAUUCGCAAGAACACCAGUGGCGAAGGCGGCUCACUGGCCCGGUACUGACGCUGAGGUGCGAAAGCGUGGGGAGCAAACAGGAUUAGAAACCCUGGUAGUCC